GAAUAUUGGACAAUGGGCGCAAGCCUGAUCCAGCCAUACCGCGUGGGUGACGAAGGCCUUCGGGUUGCAAAGCCAUUUUGUUGGGAAAGAAAAGCAGUCGGCUAAUACCCGGUUGUUUUGACGGUACCCAAAGCAUACGCACCGGCUACCUUCGUGCCAGCAGCCGCGGUAAUACGAAGCGUGCAAGCGUUACUCGGAAUUACUGGGCGUAAAGCUUUCGUAGGUGGUUGUUUAAGUCUGUUGUGAAAGCCCUGGGCUCAACCUGGGAAUUGCAGUGGAUACUGGGCGACUAGAGUGUGGUAGAGGGUAGUGGAAUUCCCGGUGUAGCAGUGAAGUGCGUAGAGAUCGGGAGGAACAUCCAUGGCGAAGGCAGCUACCUGGACCAACACUGACACUGAGGCACGAAAGCGUGGGGAGCAAACA
This 423-nucleotide ribosomal RNA is filed under the name uncultured bacterium. Its description in RNAcentral is "partial 16S ribosomal RNA". It matches the Rfam family "Bacterial small subunit ribosomal RNA", at positions 359 to 774 of the family's 1533-position model. The record is from RNAcentral.